UGUGGUUACAAUAGCAGAGAGGAUACACCUGUUCCCAUUCCGAACACAGAAGUUAAGCUCUCUAGCGCUGAUGGUACUUGGUGGGAAACUGC
This 92-nucleotide ribosomal RNA is filed under the name Clostridioides difficile. The record is from RNAcentral. Lineage: Bacteria; Bacillati; Bacillota; Clostridia; Peptostreptococcales; Peptostreptococcaceae.